AGAAACAGCGACGCAGCUCACACUAGUUUUUAGCUAGUUAUAUCUUCCCAAAAGAAUGACAUGUGGUCUGAAAUGGGGAAACAUUACGCUCAAGUAGGAUGAUUACGUCGAGAAAUAACAAACAAAAAAAUGUGACGAAACAAAGAAUAGAGGCAUUCAGUUAUACUGAGGAAGAGCAAAGCAUUGGUCAAAAAACCCAGGAAGAUGUCAAUCCAGAAGAUUUGGAGAUGGGUGUACAAAGGUGCCCUGUAAAGCAGCAAGAAAAUGCUGAUGCAUGUUGUUGCUUCUUCACAGAUUGUCCUAUUAACCUACCCCCCCUCCCGUGCCCACACACACUCAC
This is a long non-coding RNA of Actinia tenebrosa (Australian red waratah sea anemone), 340 nucleotides long. RefSeq lists it as uncharacterized. Lineage: Eukaryota; Metazoa; Cnidaria; Anthozoa; Actiniaria; Actiniidae. The record is from RefSeq and is a predicted model, not a curated record.